This 357-nucleotide transfer RNA is filed under the name uncultured Microcystis sp. RNAcentral describes it as "partial 16S-23S ribosomal RNA intergenic spacer". The stretch from base 133 to 206 matches the Rfam family "tRNA". The record is from RNAcentral. Lineage: Bacteria; Bacillati; Cyanobacteriota; Cyanophyceae; Chroococcales; Microcystaceae.
AAGGGAGACCUAAUUCGGGUAGAAGACGAAAAAAUAGUAGUCGAAACCAAGAAUCAAUCCCAAAAGGUCGGAACGAGGUAUGUGGCUUUCAAACUAGGUUCUGGGUUCACAAAAGACCUGAAUCAGGAACAAGGGCUGUUAGCUCAGGUGGUUAGAGCGCACCCCUGAUAAGGGUGAGGUCCCUGGUUCGAGUCCAGGAUGGCCCACCUGCACAGGUGGCAAAAACAAGAGAAACGAGGAAUCAGCACCUUAUCUUACUUACAUAGUAAGAGAGAAUGCUGGCUCUGAGUAAAGAGUCCAGAGGAACCUUGAAAACUGCAUAGAGCUAGGUGAAAAAGCCAAAAAAGAAGACCGCAA